Molecule: unclassified non-coding RNA, 222 nt
Filed under: Glomus sp.
Lineage: Eukaryota; Fungi; Glomeromycota; Glomeromycetes; Glomerales; Glomeraceae
Description: partial contains 5.8S ribosomal RNA and internal transcribed spacer 2
Rfam family: 5.8S ribosomal RNA (bases 1-65)
Source: RNAcentral
GUGAAUCAUCAAAUUUUUGAACGCAAAUUGCACUCUCUUCGGAGAGUAUGCCUGUUUGAGGGUCAGCCUAAAAAAAAAAAUCGACAUAGUCGCUGUUUCGCGGUUACAUUCGUCGGAAAUUUUGUCAUCUUAAACCUUUGGGUUUUAAGCGGCUUAAAAUUUUCUUUACGAUUCCACGAACGUUUCUAAGAUUUACUUCUUAUACGUUUAAGGUAUCGACCU